GACAUGGGUAUAUGAACUUUCCAUGCUGAUUCUAAUGAAUUAGCAAAUGUGUCUUCCAAACUACUGUGAUACUCCAGGUGAUGUUAAUACUUUUAUUUUCAGUGCUGCUGAAUAUAACAAAACAAAAAAGCCAAACAGGGAGAAAAGAACGUGCAGAGCAAUUUCUUCACCACAGAUACACUUCUUGUGGGAAACCAAAGGGAUGACUCGUUUCUUUUGUGCCCCUGUAAAUGAGUAUGGAUUGUUUUCACUAACUAAGCACAUUGGUAACUCCCAUGGAGAAAAAAAAAAAGAGACAACCACAACUAACUUAAAUAUCAGAAGAUGAAUUCAGCAAACAUAAACCUUUCCAACAGUGUUUCUAUGUAAACAAAAAUGUCAAGAGUUAUAGUGUGAGAGUUCUUUGUACUCUCUGGGUGUAACAGACAAAAAGACAUUUCCUGACAAUAUGGAAAAAUGUAUUUAGAAUUCAAAAUUUUAAAAUGUUAGUUACAUUUAUCAAUGCAUUGUUUUGAGUGGGGUAAGUUUUGGGUAUUAAACAUCUUGUGCUGAAAAAACAACCAGAAAAGUUCAAACAUUUUUUCCUCUAAAUCCAGAGAGAGGUAAAAAUUCUGCAUUUUCUAAAAAGUAGUGUAUGAUAAAUAUAUUACACAAUAGCAUAUACUUUGGAACAUGAUAAUAAAUAUUCUUUCUUUAAACACAA
Long non-coding RNA from Columba livia (rock pigeon), 703 nucleotides. RefSeq lists it as uncharacterized. NCBI's taxonomy places the organism in Eukaryota, Metazoa, Chordata, Aves, Columbiformes, Columbidae. The record is from RefSeq and is a predicted model, not a curated record. The transcript is spliced from 2 exons.